This is a long non-coding RNA of Alnus glutinosa, 588 nucleotides long. RefSeq lists it as uncharacterized. The transcript has 2 exons. NCBI's taxonomy places the organism in Eukaryota, Viridiplantae, Streptophyta, Magnoliopsida, Fagales, Betulaceae. The record is from RefSeq and is a predicted model, not a curated record.
UAAUAAUAAUAAUAAUAAGUAGUCAAAUAAGAUAGUAAACGUGUCCUAGAGAUGAUAAGUGGAAUAAAAUAAGAACCUAGUCUAAAUGAUAACCUAAUAAUAGUUUAGGAUCCUUAACUAAACUUCGAAGUGGGUAACGCGACGUGUGAGUAUGCGGGUAGUGUAGGUGUUAUAAGGGUAUGGGAUUCAAUGGCUAGUCUGACGUCAUAAUUACUUGCAGGAUAGAGUCUGGAUUGGAGACUUCAAUUGGUUCUCCAAUGUAGAGUUCGAGUCAUAAGUCCAAUGCAGCCAGAUGAUGUUUCUUUGGCUGCAGGUACUCCGGUCGUAGUUGAUGACGUAGUAAAAGUGUACUUGAAAUAUUAUGACCGAAGCUCGCCAUGACGGUCGUAAUUGUGGGACCAUGGGCAUCCUCUACUUGAUGGGUUUUGUUUAUGGCUUGUGACGCUUGUGUCACUUGUUAUUGUAUAGAGUCAUUUAUGUUAUGUAAUUAAUUUGAGGAAAUACUUAAAUAGAUAGAUGUAAUAUUGGCUCUUGAUUAUGAUUAAUUUAUGAUAGAUGUUUAAGAUGUGAUUUCCGCUAUUAGGUUUA